RNAcentral lists this non-coding RNA (45 nucleotides) under Schistosoma bovis. The record is from RNAcentral. RNAcentral also lists the same sequence under 1 other name. Lineage: Eukaryota; Metazoa; Platyhelminthes; Trematoda; Strigeidida; Schistosomatidae.
AUUCAGUUGACGAGACCUAAAUAGGAUGAAACACGUGUCCUGUAU